AUGCCACAAAAAGAACAACGUUCUACUUUAUGGCAGACGUCCGAAGCUGUUACAGUUGGACUCAAAUGAUCCGGCGAGUGGGUUGGACAACAUCAUCAUCAUCAUCAUCAUUGUUCCCUCUACAGACAGAGCUCCUCUCAAACAUCGUCAUCAGUGUGAACAAAAACACACACGCGACUGAACGCAAGAGACGGGACGAGGCGAGUGGUGCAGACAUGUCAGGAUGAGGAGAAUGGCAGCAUCUACACCGCUUUAAUUUCCUACAACAAUCAAACACACAGAGAGAGUCCUUGAUGCAAAAUAAGCGCAACAAAUGCGCCGUUUGUGCAGCUGCAGCGUGUGA
Solea senegalensis (Senegalese sole) is the source of this 343-nucleotide long non-coding RNA. RefSeq lists it as uncharacterized. The record is from RefSeq and is a predicted model, not a curated record. The transcript is spliced from 5 exons. Lineage: Eukaryota; Metazoa; Chordata; Actinopteri; Pleuronectiformes; Soleidae.